UGGGGAAUUUUUCGCAAUGGGGGAAACCCUGACGAAGCAACGCCGCGUGGAGGAUGAAGGCCUUCGGGUCGUAAACUCCUGUCAACCGGGACGAAUGCAGUUUGGUUUAAUACACCGAGCUGUUGACUGUACCGGUGGAGGAAGCCACGGCUAACUCUGUGCCAGCAGCCGCGGUAAUACAGAGGUGGCAAGCGUUGUUCGGAAUUACUGGGCGUAAAGGGCGCGUAGGCGGUUUCGUAAGUCCUGUGUGAAAGCCCCCGGCUCAACUGGGGAACUGCACGGGAAACUGCGAGGCUUGAGUUCGGGAGAGGGAAGCGGAAUUCCGGGUGUAGCGGUGAAAUGCGUAGAUAUCCGGAGGAACACCGGUGGCGAAGGCGGCUUCCUGGACCGACACUGACGCUGAGGCGCGAAAGCUAGGGGAGCAAACGGGAUUAGAUACCCGUGUAGUCC
RNAcentral lists this ribosomal RNA (450 nucleotides) under uncultured bacterium. RNAcentral's name for it is "bacterial SSU rRNA". It matches the Rfam family "Bacterial small subunit ribosomal RNA", at positions 355 to 796 of the family's 1533-position model. The record is from RNAcentral.